GAGUUUGAUCGUGGCUCAGGAUGAACGCCGGCGGUGUGCCUAAUACAUGCAAGUCGUACGCACUGGCCCAACUGAUUGAUGGUGCUUGCACCUGAUCGACGAUGGAUCACCAGUGAGUGGCGGACGGGUGAGUAACACGUAGGUAACCUGCCCUGUACAGGGGGAUAACAAUCAGAAAUGACUGCUAAUACCGCAUAAGACCACAGCACCGCAUGGUGCAGGGGUAAAAACUCCGGUGGUACAGGAUGGACCCGCGUCUGAUUAGCUGGUUGGUGAGGUAACGGCUCACCAAGGCGACGAUCAGUAGCCGGCUUGAGAGAGUGAACGGCCACAUUGGGACUGAGACACGGCCCAAACUCCUACGGGAGGCAGCAGUGGGGAAUAUUGCACAAUGGGGGAAACCCUGAUGCAGCAACGCCGCGUGAGUGAAGAGUAUUUCGGUAUGUAAAGCUCUAUCAGCAGGGAAGAAAGUGACGGUACCUGACUAAGAAGCCCGGCUACUACG
Molecule: ribosomal RNA, 505 nt
Filed under: uncultured microorganism
Description: bacterial SSU rRNA
Rfam family: Bacterial small subunit ribosomal RNA
Source: RNAcentral